GGAGGGUGCAAGCGUUAAUCGGAAUUACUGGGCGUAAAGCGCACGUAGGCGGAUGUCUAAGUCGGGUGUGAAAGCCCCGGGCUCAACCUGGGAACUGCAUUCGAUACUGGGUGUCUAGAGUAUGGUAGAGGAUAGUGGAAUUCCCGGUGUAGCGGUGAAAUGCGUAGAUAUCGGGAAGAACACCAGUGGCGAAGGCGGCUAUCUGGACCAAUACUGACGCUAAGGUGCGAAAGCGUGGGGAGCAAACAGGGAUUAGAGACCCUGGUAGCCACGCCGUAAACGAUGAGAACCUAGAUGUUUGGGAGCUUGACUCCCUGAGUAUCGUAGCUUAACGCGUUAAGUUCUCCGCCUGGGGAGUACGGCCGCAAGGUUA
Molecule: ribosomal RNA, 373 nt
Filed under: uncultured organism
Description: partial 16S ribosomal RNA
Rfam family: Bacterial small subunit ribosomal RNA
Source: RNAcentral